UGCCAGACUCCUACGGGAGGCAGCAGUGGGGAAUAUUGCACAAUGGGGGAACCCUGAUGCAGCGACGCCGCGUGAGUGAAGAAGUAUUUCGGUAUGUAAAGCUCUAUCAGCAGGGAAGAAAAUGACGGUACCUGACUAAGAAGCCCCGGCUAACUACGUGCCAGCAGCCGCGGUAAUACGUAGGGGGCAAGCGUUAUCCGGAUUUACUGGGUGUAAAGGGAGCGUAGACGGCAGAGCAAGUCUGAAGUGAAAGCCCGCGGCCCAACUGCGGGACUGCUUUGGAAACUGCCCGGCUAGAGUGCUGGAGAGGUAAGCGGAAUUCCUAGUGUAGCGGUGAAAUGCGUAGAUAUUAGGAGGAACACCAGUGGCGAAGGCGACUUUCUGGACUGUACCUGACGCUGAGGCGCGAAAGCGUGGGUAGCGAACGGGAUUAGAUACCCUGGUACA
Molecule: ribosomal RNA, 447 nt
Filed under: uncultured bacterium
Lineage: Bacteria
Description: bacterial SSU rRNA
Rfam family: Bacterial small subunit ribosomal RNA
Source: RNAcentral